UAGGGAGCUGUCUAUUAGUGGGGGACAACCCGGGGAAACUCGGGCUAAUACCGCAUACCCUCUGAGGAGGAAAGCUGGGGACCUUCGGGCCUGGCGCUAAUUGAGGCACCUGCGUCGGAUUAGCUAGUUGGUGAGGUGAAGGCUCACCAAGGCGAUGAUCCGUAGCUGGUCUGAGAGGACGAUCAGCCACACUGGGACUGAGACACGGCCCAGACUCCUACGGGNGCAG
Molecule: ribosomal RNA, 229 nt
Filed under: uncultured bacterium
Lineage: Bacteria
Description: partial 16S ribosomal RNA
Rfam family: Bacterial small subunit ribosomal RNA
Source: RNAcentral